Rhinopithecus roxellana (golden snub-nosed monkey) is the source of this 3134-nucleotide RNA transcript. It is a transcript of the gene named transmembrane protein 231, with no coding region annotated. The transcript has 7 exons. The record is from RefSeq and is a predicted model, not a curated record. NCBI's taxonomy places the organism in Eukaryota, Metazoa, Chordata, Mammalia, Primates, Cercopithecidae.
UUGCUAUUUGCUCCUUUCCGGGAGCCUUCGGUUGCCUUGGAGACCAAGGCGAUGGCAACCAGCAGAAGCCAAACUUGGUCCCCUGUCUCGCGGCGUGCCUGCGCGCGGUGCUCAUGGCGCUCUACGAUCUCUUCUCUCACCCGGUCGAGCGCAGCUACCGCGCGGGGCUCUGCUCCAAAGCCGCGCUGUUCCUGCUGGUGGCCGCUGCGCUCACGUACAUCCCGCCGCUGCUGGUGGCCUUCCGGAGCCACGGGUUUUGGCUGAAGAGGAGCAGCUACGAGGAGCAGCCGACCGUGCGCUUCCAACACCAGGUGCUGCUCGUGGCCCUGCUGGGACCCGAGAGCGGCGGGUUCCUCGCUUGGAGCACGUUCCCCGCUUUCAAUCGGCUGCAGGGGGAUCGCCUGCGCGUCCCGCUCGUUUCGACUAGAGAAGAAGACAGGAACCAGGAUGGGAAGACGGACAUGUUACAUUUUAAGCUGGAGCUUCCCCUGCAGUCCACGGAGCACGUUCUGGGUGUGCAACUCAUCCUGACUUUCUCCUAUCAAUUACACAGGAUGGUGACCCUCGUGAUGCAGAGCAUGGCGUUUCUCCAGUCCUCCUUUCCUGUCCCGGGAUCCCAAUUAUAUGUGAACGGAGACCUGAGGCUGCAGCAGAAGCAGCCACUGAGCUGUGGUGGCCUAGAUGCCCGAUACAACAUAUCUGUGAUCAACGGGACCAGCCCCUUUGCCUAUGACUACGACCUCACCCAUAUUGUUGCUGCCUACCAGGAGAGGAACGGUGAGUCACAGGUAGAGCUCAUUCAGCCGCUGCUCAGGACUUUCAAGGUUAGUGGGGGCAACAGAGACAAGCAGAAUUGGAACCCUUGUGAUAAAAAUGUGAAAACCUGUGAAUGCUCAACGAUGGGAGCAAAUGUGCUGUCCAGGAUUUGUCCUUUUCGUCCUCAUCUUCAGACCUGGGACCGCCCCGACCCCUCCAGCAUCCCAUGGUCCAGAAGUUACCACCAUCCUGAAUGAUCCCAACCCCAUCUGGCUGGUGGACAGAGCCGCAGAUGCUCCAUUUGUGAUUAAUGCUAUCAUCCGAUACCCUGUGGAAGUUAUUUCUUAUCAGCCAGGAUUCUGGGAGAUGGUAAAGUUCGCCUGGGUGCAGUAUGUCAGCAUCCUGCUUAUCUUCCUCUGGGUGUUUGAAAGAAUCAAGAUCUUCGUGUUUCAGAAUCAGGUGGUGACCACCAUCCCUGUGACGGCGACGCCCCGGGGAGAAAUGUGUAAGGAGCACUUAUCCUAGGAAGGUCGUUUUUGAAGACUCGGCAGGACCAUGGCUGUCUCAUUGUCAUCUCCUGGGAACAUCUUAGGACCUUUUGAAACAGCCCAGAGGACACAUGCGGGCUUGUGUGCUUUUCCCCUCAGAAACAACAGUUCUUUUCAGUUUUGCUCUACACACGUUCCACAUCUUCAGAGCUCCUGCAGAAUCACCAAGGACUAGUUUGUGGAAAGGUCUGAGGUUUCCCUGAGGCUAUAAUUAGCUUUUUGGGUUUUCUUCCUUGCCUUAGAGUUGAAUUUUGGGAGAAAAUUGCAGUCAGUUCAGACAUCUUGGAAAGAGUCCCACCUCUGGUCAAGCAGAGACUUUUCCUCUGUUGAACUGAGAAACACGCUGUGCAUUUCUUCCUUCUACUGUGAGCCACUCUUACUCUUUUCAGGGCUUUCUUGUGACACACAUGCCAAUCACUAGCACUUUGCACCCCUGGGCAUCUCCAUUUCCAUUCAGAGCUUUGAUUUCCAGAGCUGAGGCCUUUAACUGGAGACCUGGAGGGGCAGGGCCCAAGGGCAAGGGCCGCAUUAGCACAGGCAUGAGGGAGGCCUGCUGAAGGCGACUUGGACUGUCCACCUGCUCCAGCCCAACAGUCAGUCCUCUGUUAUCAGCUCAGCUGAGCAGCCCUGGAUCUUUGUCAAACUGUGGCUGGCUCUUCGCCCUAUUUUUCCCUCUGUCUGUGCCCCUCAUGGCAGACUGAAGUCAGAGGGGCUGUUUCAUUCCCAGCCCCCUCAGCAGCACUGAGGGAAGAAAGGAUUGUUACAACAGGUUCUUUCUGGCCCUCAUCCCAACAGCCUGGGCACUUGGCCCUCCUCCUCCUUGUCAGCCCUCCCCCUUCCUGCAAAGGACAGGGGCAACAGGAGUUGGUGCUGGGAUUGGCUCCCACUGCCUGACAACCACAAGUUUAUUUGGAGGGCUAGUGGGAAGCCCAGCGGCUGGCCUUUCCCUUGACUAAGGAACACAGUGCCCAUCAGAGUAGGGCAGGCAGCUUUGGGAAGGACACAAGAAGCAGUGAGGGAGUAAAGAGGAUGCUGGCCUGGGCAGGCCAGUCCAGCCUGGCCACUAGCAGAAUGCCAAGCAGUUCAGUGGAUUACCCUCAUGGCUAAGGAAGUGUCUGCAAGAGCAGAGAUGGCUGGAAGGGGCCUCUGCACACGGAAGACGGCUUGUUCAGCCAUUCAUCUCCUGAGGACGCGUGCAGUCUCCUCCAAGGACAGACGGAGCUGCUUUCUGAUCCCAAGCAGGUCAUUACCACUGGGAGGACAUGGCCCCUGUGAUCCAUGCUUCAUGCCCACUCAGAAACACACCCCUCAGUGUGUGCCUCAGUUUACCUUGGAGAUGAGUUCUCAUUUUUAGUGCUCCUUUAGGCUGACUAAACACAAUUUUGGAAACAAAGCUGUUUUGAAAUAUUCAAGCAGAGGAAUUCCCUAACAAACACUGUCCCCUUUGUCUUUUUUUAAUAUUCAGGCUGUUUUAUAUGCCUAAAUUUUUUUCUUAAGAUCUAAAUGAAAAAUAGUUUCUUGUUUAAAUCCCCAUAAGGCAGUGAGAUAUGGAAGGAUGACAAGAUAAUGUAUAAACAUUGGUUUGCAUUUUAUUAAAUUAUUCAAAUGCAAAUCUUGUAUAAAGAACCCAUGAUGUUUUGUACCUUUCUAAUUAAAAUGUUCAAAAUGAGGCUGAGCAUGACGGUUCAUCCCUGUAAUCUCAACGCUUUGAGAAGCCAAGGCGGGAGGAUCACUUGAGCCCAGGAGCUUGAGGCUGCAGUGUGCUGGGAUCACACCACUGCACUCCAGCCUGGGUGACAGACUGAGACCCUGUCUCUUAAAAAAAAAAAA